Molecule: ribosomal RNA, 1029 nt
Filed under: Escherichia coli
Lineage: Bacteria; Pseudomonadati; Pseudomonadota; Gammaproteobacteria; Enterobacterales; Enterobacteriaceae
Description: partial 23S ribosomal RNA
Rfam family: Bacterial large subunit ribosomal RNA
Source: RNAcentral
GGGACACGUGGUAUCCUGUCUGAAUAUGGGGGGACCAUCCUCCAAGGCUAAAUACUCCUGACUGACCGAUAGUGAACCAGUACCGUGAGGGAAAGGCGAAAAGAACCCCGGCGAGGGGAGUGAAAAAGAACCUGAAACCGUGUACGUACAAGCAGUGGGAGCACGCUUAGGCGUGUGACUGCGUACCUUUUGUAUAAUGGGUCAGCGACUUAUAUUCUGUAGCAAGGUUAACCGAAUAGGGGAGCCGAAGGGAAACCGAGUCUUAACUGGGCGUUAAGUUGCAGGGUAUAGACCCGAAACCCGGUGAUCUAGCCAUGGGCAGGUUGAAGGUUGGGUAACACUAACUGGAGGACCGAACCGACUAAUGUUGAAAAAUUAGCGGAUGACUUGUGGCUGGGGGUGAAAGGCCAAUCAAACCGGGAGAUAGCUGGUUCUCCCCGAAAGCUAUUUAGGUAGCGCCUCGUGAAUUCAUCUCCGGGGGUAGAGCACUGUUUCGGCAAGGGGGUCAUCCCGACUUACCAACCCGAUGCAAACUGCGAAUACCGGAGAAUGUUAUCACGGGAGACACACGGCGGGUGCUAACGUCCGUCGUGAAGAGGGAAACAACCCAGACCGCCAGCUAAGGUCCCAAAGUCAUGGUUAAGUGGGAAACGAUGUGGGAAGGCCCAGACAGCCAGGAUGUUGGCUUAGAAGCAGCCAUCAUUUAAAGAAAGCGUAAUAGCUCACUGGUCGAGUCGGCCUGCGCGGAAGAUGUAACGGGGCUAAACCAUGCACCGAAGCUGCGGCAGCGACGCUUAUGCGUUGUUGGGUAGGGGAGCGUUCUGUAAGCCUGCGAAGGUGUGCUGUGAGGCAUGCUGGAGGUAUCAGAAGUGCGAAUGCUGACAUAAGUAACGAUAAAGCGGGUGAAAAGCCCGCUCGCCGGAAGACCAAGGGUUCCUGUCCAACGUUAAUCGGGGCAGGGUGAGUCGACCCCUAAGGCGAGGCCGAAAGGCGUAGUCGAUGGGAAACAGGUUAAUAUUCCUGUACUUG